This 429-nucleotide ribosomal RNA is filed under the name Pseudomonadota bacterium. RNAcentral describes it as "Proteobacteria bacterium partial 16S ribosomal RNA". It matches the Rfam family "Bacterial small subunit ribosomal RNA", at positions 355 to 776 of the family's 1533-position model. Lineage: Bacteria; Pseudomonadati; Pseudomonadota. The record is from RNAcentral.
UGGGGAAUAUUGGACAAUGGGCGAAAGCCUGAUCCAGCCAUGCCGCGUGUGUGAAGAAGGUCUUCGGAUUGUAAAGCACUUUAAGUUGGGAGGAAGGGCAGUAAGCGAAUACCUUGCUGUUUUGACGUUACCGACAGAAUAAGCACCGGCUAACUCUGUGCCAGCAGCCGCGGUAAUACAGAGGGUGCAAGCGUUAAUCGGAAUUACUGGGCGUAAAGCGCGCGUAGGUGGUUCGUUAAGUUGAAUGUGAAAGCCCCGGGCUCAACCUGGGAACUGCAUCCAAAACUGGCGAGCUAGGGUAGGGCAGAGGGUGGUGGGAUUUCCUGUGUAGCGGUGAAAUGCGUAGAUAUAGGAAGGAACACCAGUGGCGAAGGAGACCACCUGGGCUCAUACUGACACUGAGGUGCGAAAGCGUGGGGAGCAAACAGG